UACGUAGGUGGCAAGCGUUAUCCGGAUUUACUGGGUGUAAAGGGUGCGUAGGCGGCUUUUUAAGUCAGCGGUGAAAUUUUGCAGCUUAGCUGUAACAGUGCCGUUGAUACUGGGGAGCUAGGAUUUGGUUGCUGUGGGUGGAAUGUGUGGUGUAGCGGUGAAAUGCUUAGAGAUCACACAGAAUAUCGAUUGCGAAGGCAGCUCACAAAGCCAAGAUUGACGCUGAGGCACGAAAGUGUGGGGAUCAAACAGGA
RNAcentral lists this ribosomal RNA (254 nucleotides) under uncultured prokaryote. RNAcentral's name for it is "partial 16S ribosomal RNA". It matches the Rfam family "Bacterial small subunit ribosomal RNA", at positions 524 to 777 of the family's 1533-position model. The record is from RNAcentral.